RNAcentral lists this ribosomal RNA (847 nucleotides) under Bacillus subtilis. RNAcentral describes it as "bacterial SSU rRNA". It matches the Rfam family "Bacterial small subunit ribosomal RNA", at positions 52 to 882 of the family's 1533-position model. Lineage: Bacteria; Bacillati; Bacillota; Bacilli; Caryophanales; Bacillaceae. The record is from RNAcentral.
UACUGCAGUCGAGCGGACAGAUGGGAGCUUGCUCCCUGAUGUUAGCGGCGGACGGGUGAGUAACACGUGGGUAACCUGCCUGUAAGACUGGGAUAACUCCGGGAAACCGGGGCUAAUACCGGAUGCUUGUUUGAACCGCAUGGUUCAAACAUAAAAGGUGGCUUCGGCUACCACUUACAGAUGGACCCGCGGCGCAUUAGCUAGUUGGUGAGGUAACGGCUCACCAAGGCAACGAUGCGUAGCCGACCUGAGAGGGUGAUCGGCCACACUGGGACUGAGACACGGCCCAGACUCCUACGGGAGGCAGCAGUAGGGAAUCUUCCGCAAUGGACGAAAGUCUGACGGAGCAACGCCGCGUGAGUGAUGAAGGUUUUCGGAUCGUAAAGCUCUGUUGUUAGGGAAGAACAAGUACCGUUCGAAUAGGGCGGUACCUUGACGGUACCUAACCAGAAAGCCACGGCUAACUACGUGCCAGCAGCCGCGGUAAUACGUAGGUGGCAAGCGUUGUCCGGAAUUAUUGGGCGUAAAGGGCUCGCAGGCGGUUUCUUAAGUCUGAUGUGAAAGCCCCCGGCUCAACCGGGGAGGGUCAUUGGAAACUGGGGAACUUGAGUGCAGAAGAGGAGAGUGGAAUUCCACGUGUAGCGGUGAAAUGCGUAGAGAUGUGGAGGAACACCAGUGGCGAAGGCGACUCUCUGGUCUGUAACUGACGCUGAGGAGCGAAAGCGUGGGGAGCGAACAGGAUUAGAUACCCUGGUAGUCCACGCCGUAAACGAUGAGUGCUAAGUGUUAGGGGGUUUCCGCCCCUUAGUGCUGCAGCUAACGCAUUAAGCACUCCGCCUGGGGAGUA